AGUGAACGCUGGCGGUAGGCCUAACACAUGCAGGUCGAACGGCAGCACAGUAAGAGCUUGCUCUUACGGGUGGCGAGUGGCGGACGGGUGAGGAAUACAUCGGAAUCUACUUUUUCGUGGGGGAUAACGUAGGGAAACUUACGCUAAUACCGCAUACGACCUACGGGUGAAAGCAGGGGAUCUUCGGACCUUGCGCGAUUGAGUGAGCCGAUGUCGGAUUAGCUAGUUGGCGGGGUAAAGGCCCACCAAGGCGACGAUCCGUAGCUGGUCUGAGAGGAUGAUCAGCCACACUGGAACUGAGACACGGUCCAGACUCCUACGGGAAGCAGCAGUGGGGAAUAUUGGACAAUGGGCGCAAGCCUGAUCCAGCCAUACCGCGUGGGUGAAGAAGGCCUUCGGGUUGUAAAGCCCUUUUGUUGGGAAAGAAAAGCAGCAGGUUAAUACCCCGCUGUUCUGACGGUACCCAAAGAAUAAGCACCGGCUAACUUCGUG
Molecule: ribosomal RNA, 492 nt
Filed under: uncultured bacterium
Lineage: Bacteria
Description: partial 16S ribosomal RNA
Rfam family: Bacterial small subunit ribosomal RNA
Source: RNAcentral